RNAcentral lists this ribosomal RNA (294 nucleotides) under uncultured bacterium. RNAcentral describes it as "partial 16S ribosomal RNA". It matches the Rfam family "Bacterial small subunit ribosomal RNA", at positions 775 to 1067 of the family's 1533-position model. The record is from RNAcentral.
GGAUUAGAUACCCUGGUAGUCUUAGCUGUAAACGAUGGAUACUAGGCGUUGCUUGUAUCGACCCGAGCAGUGCCGUAGCCAACGCGUUAAGUAUCCCGCCUGGGGAGUACGCACGCAAGUGUGAAACUCAAAGGAAUUGACGGGGGCCCGCACAAGCGGUGGAGUAUGUGGUUUAAUUCGAUGCAACGCGAAGAACCUUACCAGGGCUUGACAUCCCACGAAUUUUGGGGAAACUCAGAAGUGCCUUCGGGAACGUGGAGACAGGUGGUGCAUGGCUGUCGUCAGCUCGUGCCG